Molecule: long non-coding RNA, 2070 nt
Filed under: Panax ginseng (ginseng)
Lineage: Eukaryota; Viridiplantae; Streptophyta; Magnoliopsida; Apiales; Araliaceae
Description: long non-coding RNA (PGIN_LNC005779)
Source: RNAcentral
CGGUCUUUCCUUAAAAUCUGAACUUCUGUUAUGAGCCGUGGAUAAUAUCCAACGGUUGGGAAAGGAAAGGAAAGUGUUGGGGAAAUAUGUACGCGGAGCUCCAUUUCGAACGGGUCUCUCCAUUUCACAAACCGCCUCUUUCUCUCUCUCUUUCACGAAGCCAAAUCGCGUCUCUCUCUCUCUCUUUCACGAAGCCGGAAACUCGCCCUCUCGCGUCUCUGGCUUAAAGCUUCCGGCCGUACGAAGCCGAAAACUCGCCGAACUCGCCGUCUCUCUCUCUGUCUCCCAAGGUAUUUUCUACUUCCCCCAAUAUUUUCUCAAUACUGCUUGGUUCUGUCUCUCUCUUUCACGAAGCCAAAUCGCGGAAUAAAUUGGCCCCAAUAGUUCUACUUAUCUGUUUGAACCAAGGUAUUUUCUAAUUAUCUGUUUGAACCAAAUGAUGAAUGAAAUCUAGAGUAAGGCUGAAAAUCUAGGGUUGAUGUCUCUGCCGUGUAUUUUCUAAUUUUCUAAUUUUCUAAUUAUCUGUUUGAACCUUUUGAAUUCAAAUUGAAUGUUUAAAAAGUUUUGCACUGUUUGGUGGUUUAGGCACAAAGAGAUAGGUUGGGCUGAGGAGUAAUAAGGAGGAUAUAAUGGGUUCAUGAUAUAAACCAAUAGUGGUGAAACUGAUAGCCUAAAAUUGUGCCUACCAACUGUUUGAUAAAAGUUCUAAAAGAACUAUUUUGAUUGAAUUUAUAUAUGUAUCUUUGAAUUUAUACUACUAUUAAUAUAAACCAAUGGUGGCAUAUAGUGAUAUCCAGGGAGUGCUGGGGUUUUGGGUUAAGUUGUGUGAUACAGAAUAAAGGGGCUACAUGACAUAUUUAAUGUAGAGGAUUCCUUGCAACUUUUUAGAGCAUCGUAAGGGUCGAGGAAAUCCAGAUUCAAGAGUUUGUGUAGUUAUAUGGAAAAGUUCUGAGUUGCAUCUUUUUUAAUACCAAGUACAUAGUAUUUUACAUUUACUAGGUUCUUUCCCUCUAAGUGCAUUUGGUGUUUUGACAGUUGAGCAGUAGCAUGGGCUGUGCUAAUUAUUUAUUCCUGGUUAUGUAUUUUGACUGGGAACAAGUGACUUGAUGAGCUUACAGCGUUGAAGAACAACUUGGCCCUUCAAUUUUUCUUGGUCCCCAAGCUUGUCUCUCCUAUAUAAUGUAAUAGAUUAUAACUACGUUUUAGGCUUUCAGCAGAGUACAAUGAAUAAAAAUUCUUUUAAAUAUGUAUGAGACAGCUAGGUGUGAGGCCUAGUCUUCUUCCCCUCUUUCAUGUGUUAUUGUCAUGCAUGUGGAUUACCAACUGUGGAAUGUCUCUAAAACAUUGCAAUCUUAUGGUGGUUUUGGCAGAUAAGGUUCAACAAAGGCAUGUCUACUUCAAGCAACAUGAGCAUUCAAACUCAUGAUACCCGAUUUCGAAACAAGAUGUGUUAUUGUCGCCUGAGAGCUGCUAUGAGAAAAUUUGAAUCAGAGAAGAAUCCUGGACAGCUCUACUAUGACUGUCCAAGGGAGAAGGACAAAGGAAAAUGUAAGUUUUGGGACUAGUGCAAUCCAAUUGGGUAUGGCGAACCCAACUCCGCUGUUGAAGCACACAUACAGCUGUGCAUCAAUGAUGAUGCUCGACUUGGAGUCAUUGAAAUUAAUGUGGCAAAUCUUAAACACAUCGUCAAUAUCAUCGUGUUCUUUUGUGGGCUAUCCUUGGUAGUGUCGGUCAUGGAACUUGUCAAGUGAUUGUAAUGACUGUAACUGUAAUGACUAUAAGGAAAAUGAUUGUAAUGACUGUAAUGACUAUAAGGAAAAUGUAAUGAUUAUGUACUCUGCUACCCUUUUGUAUUAAGAAAGCACUGGAUGAUUGUCUUGUUGAAAAUAUGGAUGUUAAGUACAUUUUUUCACUGGUGAACCACCUUUCAAUUGUUACUGCUACAUUGAUACCUUGUCCUUUUGGUGCAUACCCUAAAAAUGUGAAGCACGAACAGAAACUAGUAUCUUAAAAUGGUGCGUGCAAUUGGAAGAAGACCAACCAAGGCAAUUUGCAGUUGCUCUGAGCUGG